This 225-nucleotide unclassified non-coding RNA is filed under the name Hevea brasiliensis (rubber tree). The record is from RNAcentral. Lineage: Eukaryota; Viridiplantae; Streptophyta; Magnoliopsida; Malpighiales; Euphorbiaceae.
GCACUUUGAUCAACCGCCGUCCCUCCUCAUCCUGGCCGUACCACCCUGUGGCAAACGGCCCGCAACUGACAUCGUCCACACCGAGCCCACGAACUCUGAGCCCCCGGCUGAAGGCUGGGUCGGCCAGAGCGGUUGAGGUCGCGCGGCUCAUGUCCUCGUCGGUUAUCCUGGGGAAGCCUCCUGUGGCGGCGGUCUUGACAUCGUGGUGGAGGACGGAGGCAGCGG